Molecule: ribosomal RNA, 60 nt
Filed under: Leptolegnia sp. K08
Lineage: Eukaryota; Oomycota; Saprolegniomycetes; Saprolegniales; Saprolegniaceae
Description: partial 28S ribosomal RNA
Rfam family: Eukaryotic large subunit ribosomal RNA
Source: RNAcentral
UUGGACCCUGAUAUCAAACAAGACUACCCGCUGAACUUAAGCAUAUCAUUAAGCGGAGGA